RNAcentral lists this transfer RNA (73 nucleotides) under Apaloderma vittatum (bar-tailed trogon). It matches the Rfam family "tRNA". Rfam says of the family: Transfer RNA (tRNA) molecules are approximately 80 nucleotides in length. Their secondary structure includes four short double-helical elements and three loops (D, anti-codon, and T loops). The record is from Rfam by way of RNAcentral. Lineage: Eukaryota; Metazoa; Chordata; Aves; Trogoniformes; Trogonidae.
GGGGAAUUAGCUCAAAUGGUAGAGCGCUCGCUUAGCAUGCGACAGGUAGUGGGAUCGAUGCCCACAUUCUCCA